RNAcentral lists this ribosomal RNA (468 nucleotides) under uncultured bacterium. RNAcentral describes it as "partial 16S ribosomal RNA". It matches the Rfam family "Bacterial small subunit ribosomal RNA", at positions 28 to 507 of the family's 1533-position model. The record is from RNAcentral.
GACGAACGCUGGCGGCGUGCUUAACACAUGCAAGUCGAACGGAAAGGCCCUGCUUUUGUGGGGUGCUCGAGUGGCGAACGGGUGAGUAACACGUGAGUAACCUGCCCUUGACUUUGGGAUAACUUCAGGAAACUGGGGCUAAUACCGGAUAGGAGCUCCUGCUGCAUGGUGGGGGUUGGAAAGUUUAGGCGGUUGGGGAUGGACUCGCGGUUUAUCAGCUUGUUGGUUGGGGAGUGGCUUACCAAGGCUUUGACGGGUAGCCGGCCUGAGAGGGGGACCGGCCACAAUGGGCCUGAGAUACGGCGCAGACUCCUACGGGAGGCAGCAGGCGGGAAUAUUGCACAAUGGGCGGAAGCCUGAUGCAGCAGCGCCGCGUGCGGGAUGACGGCCUUCGGGUUGUGAACCGCUUUCGCCUGAGACGAAGCGUGAGUGACGGUAAUGGGUAAAGAAGCACCGGCUAACUACGUG